This 75-nucleotide transfer RNA is filed under the name Cordylochernes scorpioides. Its description in RNAcentral is "tRNA-Thr". It matches the Rfam family "tRNA". From Rfam's summary of the family: Transfer RNA (tRNA) molecules are approximately 80 nucleotides in length. The record is from RNAcentral. Lineage: Eukaryota; Metazoa; Arthropoda; Arachnida; Pseudoscorpiones; Chernetidae.
GUCCAGGGUAGCUUAGUGGACAUGGCAUCUGCCCGGUAAGCGGAACAUUCUGGGUUCGAUUCCCAUCACUGGACA